UUUUCUCGCAUCAACACACACUAAUUUCCGCCUUACUCUGUAACCAGUGACUCAGCACUCACCAUUUUCUCGCAUCAACACACACUAAUUUCCGCGCCAAACACACCCACGCUCUCCCCUAAGCCCCGAACCUGUGUCGUCUUGGGCGGCCGAGGCUUCCUCGGGAGAUUGCUCGUCCUCCGGCUCUUGAACCUCGGCAAGUGGAUAGUCCGCGUCGCCGAUUCGACUCAGUCCCUCCAUCUCGAUCCCUCCGAGCGCGACCCGCUCCUUUCGCAAGCUCUCUCCUCCGGCCGCGCUUCCUUGCACGGCAUCGAUGUUCGCAACACGUCUCAAAUCAUCACUGCAAUUGAAGGUUCAUCUGUAGUGUUCUGUUUGGAUGGGGCUGAUUUACCCAAAGACGAUUUCUACCAGUGCUAUAUGAUUGUUGUUCAAGGUGCAAAAAAUGUCAUCAGUGCUUGUCGGGCGUGCAAAGUUAGGCAGUUAAUAUACAAUAGUUCUGCUGGUGUAGUUUUUGAUGCUUCAAAAGAUAUAUUAAAUGGAGAAGAAUCUUUGGCAUAUCCUUGAAAUUUGAUGAUAUGGCUUGAUUUUCCAAGGAAUUUUCCGAUCGUUUUUCGUUGGAUUUUGGACUUCUAAUAGAAACCGGUGUGUGCAGACAGAGGCCUGUAGCGGCAGACGGUGGAGACCGGCAGGUGAUCAGAGAAGAAGAAGCUGUAUCGCAUAUAGGUGAGACGUACCUAGAGGACGAGCGUGGACAAGCGAAGCUAGGGGGCUACAAUCCUGCUACUUAUCAGUUCUAGGUACCUAUUCAUCAUUGGUGGCUCAUGAGAACUACUUGGCAGUUCUGACGUUCUACUAAAUAAAAACCAUUACUGAAAGUUCCUGCUAAGAUGGCUUGGUACAUCCUAUUGUUCAUCAAAUGGAUAGCCGAAAAGUAUGGAAUGAUAAAAUACAAUGAUUCUAUGUCAGUGCAAUACAUUCGAUUAGUUUCACGUAAUAGAAUGUUCGACUGCACUGCGACCCAAAAGCAGAUUGGGUAUUCACCAGUUAUCUCACGGGAAGAAGGUGUCACAUUAACCAUUGAGUCAUUCUCUAAUUUAGCCAGAAACUCAUCUUUCCCAACUUUCAGAAACUUUAAUGAGGAAUCAAAAGUGGAGAAGGUUGUUUUCCGUUGUAGCAUUUUUAAUUUGAUUUUGCAUGGUCCCAUGGUAAUACGUAAUUUGGUCCCCAGCUUGACUUCUACUGAUGAAAAGGGUUUAAAAUAAGUUGGAACACACCAAGCUGGCAACUUAUACAGGAUUUGCGUUUCAGAAUACAUAUCCAGAUCAAACGUGAUUGUUCAUAUGCAUUCACACAGGCCAGAGGAAGCUUUGUCCUCUGUUUUUGUACUUUUUAUUUUCUUUGAAUGUUUUUUGCUUAUAAUAAAUGAAAAUAUAUGCAUGCUAGAACUUUCAUGAAAGCUGUUUAUUGUUUUAUUUUGACUGUAGAAUGACCUUGAACUGUCACUGCAGUUGCAGACAUUUUGCGAUGGCAUGAUGAGAAGAAAUCUUUUACAUAUUUCCUUGCUUUGAGUAUGUUGUAUUACUGGUUUUUCCUUUCUGGAAGAACUUUUGCCUCGUCUAUUUCCAAGCU
Non-coding RNA from Malus domestica (apple), 1629 nucleotides. NCBI's taxonomy places the organism in Eukaryota, Viridiplantae, Streptophyta, Magnoliopsida, Rosales, Rosaceae. The record is from RefSeq and is a predicted model, not a curated record.